Long non-coding RNA from Ipomoea nil (Japanese morning glory), 292 nucleotides. RefSeq lists it as uncharacterized. The record is from RefSeq and is a predicted model, not a curated record. NCBI's taxonomy places the organism in Eukaryota, Viridiplantae, Streptophyta, Magnoliopsida, Solanales, Convolvulaceae. The transcript is spliced from 3 exons.
UUGCUUAUUCUAGAAUCUUUUUCUUUUUCCAUUCCACCUAUUUCUCUCGAUCUAAAUAAUAAAAUUGGUUUACCCUUGGAGAGGUCUUUUUCUAUAAACGGAAGAUUUUGGUUUGUUGUUCUUGUUUCUUUUGAAACUUUUUAAAAUAAUUUUAUUAUUAUUAUUUUUUUAAAACGCUUUCAGCUGUAACCUUUUCAUAUUUUCCAAUUUUUUUUUUCGAGUUCCUUUAAAAUGGGCUCAAAAAAGGAAGGUGUUUUUCGGGGAGAACCAAAAGGCACACGUUUGAACUCCA